AUGAAGCAGAUAAGAAGAGACUUGUGUAGUGGCAGAGCUUUCACCACAGUGGACGUCUGUACUCCUGCUUCCAGGAAGCAGAACACCAAAUGGAGCUGGCUCCUUUCAAGCCCCAACUCAGCUGAAGGCAGAGUCCCUGCCUCAGGGAUGUCAUCACAAUCUGGAGCCUGGCAUGGGGACCACACACAGGUGCCGAGGUCAGGAGGAACGGGUCCAGAAGCAGGGGUAUGUCUGGGGGCUGAGAGGCUGCGGCAGGUGAGGUUUGACUCCGAAGGGCACUUUGGGAACGCACCUCCGCUGGCAGGGUGACGGCACUGGGUUAGAAUAGGCAUUUGUAAGCUGAGAAAAUCGAGACAAGAUGCGGAACGAAAUGCCAGUCAUUUCUGUAUCUGUGAAUUCUUAAUGUGCGGAAUAAAACGUUAGCAUGUAACA
RNAcentral lists this long non-coding RNA (432 nucleotides) under Anser cygnoides (Swan goose). RNAcentral describes it as "lncRNA (ENSACDG00005011274.1)". The record is from RNAcentral. Lineage: Eukaryota; Metazoa; Chordata; Aves; Anseriformes; Anatidae.